UAACGUACAUAGAAAUAAAUCAUCAAUUAAUUUCAGGGACUUGGAUCAAAAAUUGAAAACCAACAAGGUUUCAGUCAAAGACUGUUCAUAACUAGGGACCGCAUCCAAAGUCUCCCUAAUAUAAAACUCGAUCCCAUGCAGUUCGGGCCCUAUAAUAUUUACUGCGCAAAGGAACCUUCUAUAUACGACUAUGAAACUUUGCUGGUUUAUGCAGAGACUGAGAUGGCUAACUGAUCAGUACUAGUCAGUUCGAUCUGCUAAAAAAGAAAAAACUAAAAACCAAAGCCCAAAGAAAAAGAAGAAGCUGAAUUACAAGAGGCUGCGACAACCAUGGCCUAUAAAUAUGUAUACAAACGAUAAGACGAGGAAACACGCAAACUCUAGGCCAGAAAAAAUCCACAAUAUUGCAGCGUACGUGGGUCUGAGUGUUACAACUGCAUGCAUGCAAUCCGAGCCCUUGAUGCAUACGAGGUUCCUGCCUCUACUCUAGCAUUAUCUUUAACCAUUUUCUUUCACUUUCACUUCCGACGAAUCGAGUUUUUAUCCUUUUUAUGAAAUAAUUAGUUACAGCCAAAAUUCAUAUGAUAUGUAGAGAUAAAUAUUGCCUUAUAAGGUGGUACAUGCUGAACCUCAAUUCAACUACAGUAAACAUAUUUUAAUAUUUGUUUUGUCAAAAUGAUUGAUUUUUAGUAAUGACAUUAAGCAUAUACCUAUGACACAACUAUGACAUAAUAACACAAUAAUAACAUAAUGACGAUUUAAACACUUAUUAUUUCUGCAAUUAAAUUUCGAAAUAUAUUUGUUGUAGCUAAUUAACAUAAUUUUUCUUGUGAUAAUGUCUAGAAACUAAACACAUAUUUGUGCAAAUCCUUCCAAAAGUUAGAGAGAUCAAAUUUUUUAAAUUAAAUUUGCAAACCAAAUGAUGUGAUUAUUGAUGAUUGAAAUGCUUAUUUCUUAUUAAAGUCACAUCAUUUAGUUAUAAAUUUAGUUUAAAAUUUUGAUCUUGCUAACAUUAUCCUUUCUUUAAAAUGAUCCUUUGUGCUCAAUCACCAUCGAUCAAAUAAGCUGUUGCAUUGACAUUCCAACACGAGGCGUGGAACGUUGGAUCUUCUUGCUCCCUUCAACUCCUCUAGUGAAGCGUGCCCCACAAUACGGGCCACUUUCAGAUUGAUUACUGACGCCAAAGUAUCCAUCCUUUUCCUUCCUCCGCAGUCCGCACUCACUCGCAGCAUCGGAUUCUCGU
This 1243-nucleotide long non-coding RNA is filed under the name Malus domestica (apple). RNAcentral describes it as "long non-coding RNA (MDOM_LNC019874)". Lineage: Eukaryota; Viridiplantae; Streptophyta; Magnoliopsida; Rosales; Rosaceae. The record is from RNAcentral.